UACGAAGGGGGCUAGCGUUGCUCGGAAUCACUGGGCGUAAAGCGCACGUAGGCGGAUUUUUAAGUCAGGGGUGAAAUCCUGGAGCUCAACUCCAGAACUGCCUUUGAUACUGGGAAUCUCGAGUCCGGAAGAGGUGAGUGGAACUGCGAGUGUAGAGGUGAAAUUCGUAGAUAUUCGCAAGAACACCAGUGGCGAAGGCGGCUCACUGGUCCGGUACUGACGCUGAGGUGCGAAAGCGUGGGGAGCAAACAGG
Molecule: ribosomal RNA, 253 nt
Filed under: uncultured bacterium
Lineage: Bacteria
Description: partial 16S ribosomal RNA
Rfam family: Bacterial small subunit ribosomal RNA
Source: RNAcentral